AUAGCGUAUAUUAAAGUUGUUGCAGUUAAAAAGCUCGUAGUUGAACCUUGGGCCUGGCUGGCCGGUCCGUCUCAUCGCGUGUACUGGUCCGGCUGGGCCUUUCCUUCUGGCUAGGCACAUGCCCUUUACUGGGUGUGUGUCCGAACCAGGACUUUUACUUUGAAAAAAUUAGAGUGUUCAAAGCAGGCAUAUGCUCGAAUACAUUAGCAUGGAAUAAUAGAAUAGGACGUGUGGUUCUAUUUUGUUGGUUUCUAGGACCGCCGUAAUGAUUAAUAGGGAUAGUCGGGGGCAUCAGUAUUCAAUUGUCAGAGGUGAAAUUCUUGGAUUAAUUGAAGACUAACUACUG
This 346-nucleotide ribosomal RNA is filed under the name uncultured eukaryote. Its description in RNAcentral is "SSU rRNA". It matches the Rfam family "Eukaryotic small subunit ribosomal RNA", at positions 594 to 945 of the family's 1831-position model. The record is from RNAcentral.